CCCUUAGAUGUUCUGGGCCGCACGCGCGCUACACUGACGAUGGCAACGAGUUUUUCCUUCGCCGAAAGGUGCGGGUAAUCUUUUGAAACAUCGUCGUGCUGGGGAUAGAUCAUUGCAAUUUUUGAUCUUGAACGAGGAAUUCCUAGUAAGCGCGAGUCAUCAGCUCGCGUUGAUUACGUCCCUGCCCUUUGUACACACCGCCCGUCGCUACUACCGAUUGAAUGGUUUAGUGAGGACUCCUGAUUGGCGCCGCCGCCCCGGCAACGGAGCAGCGGACUGCCGAAAAGUUGUUCAAACUUGAUCAUUUAGAGGAAGUAAAAGUCGUAACA
This 329-nucleotide ribosomal RNA is filed under the name uncultured eukaryote. RNAcentral's name for it is "partial 18S ribosomal RNA". It matches the Rfam family "Eukaryotic small subunit ribosomal RNA", at positions 1470 to 1796 of the family's 1831-position model. The record is from RNAcentral.